UACCAGCACCCCGAGUGGUCGGGACGAUUAUUGGGCCUAAAGCAUCCGUAGCCGGUUCUGCAAGUCUUCCGUUAAAUCCACCUGCUCAACAGAUGGGCUGCGGAGGAUACUACAGGGCUAGGAGGCGGGAGAGGCAAGCGGUACUCAGUGGGUAGGGGUAAAAUCCUCUGAUCCACUGAAGACCACCAGUGGCGAAGGCGGCUUGCCAGAACGCGCUCGACGGUGAGGGAUGAAGCUGGGGGAGCAAACCGG
This 252-nucleotide ribosomal RNA is filed under the name uncultured bacterium. Its description in RNAcentral is "partial 16S ribosomal RNA". It matches the Rfam family "Archaeal small subunit ribosomal RNA", at positions 474 to 727 of the family's 1478-position model. The record is from RNAcentral.